UCAGUAUUGGAACUGCUUUCACAAAAUGUAAAGACUAACAGAAAAUGGACAUGAAGAAGUAUCUGGAUCAUUAUAAGGGUGGCCUGUCGCUACCCAGGCACUCAGAGCAGGCGCUGUUUCUCUUUCCGGUGGACGUUGGACAGGUGCUACGGCCACGUGGGCUUCCUCAGCACCACACUCCUCACUGGAGUCCCUGCACAGCCAGCCCCUCCUGCUCCUCCUUGCACACCUCCACGGCUCCUGAGUCCUUCACCCUCUGCUCAUCCGCCCUCAGAUACCUCCUUCUCCACUGGCUCCCUCUAAAAGAGCAUCAGCUUCCGUGACUAAAACAAACCCCAAAGGCUUGCCAGUUCCCAUUGGAGUUGAGUCUUCGGGAUGGGCAGGUCCUAGCAGCCACCUUGGAUGUGCCCUUCGCAUUCUGCUCCUCUGCUUCAGGUAAGGGACAAGCACCAUGGCCACCACUACCUGAUCACCAACAUUCCAGGCUCUCUCAGGGCUCAUUUUCUGUGACCGUUUGCCAUAUCCAACUCUGGGGUUGCGUCUCUCAAAACUCUUAGUUUCCCUCAUUCAGAUCCUUCCUAGUCUUCCCUUGUCACCCUGAAGAUUCCUCUUCAGCCAUAUGUUCUGUCCUCAUUCUCUCCUUGUUCCUUACAGAGAAGCAUUUGCCAUAAAAGUGUCCUUUUCCUCUUCCUUUCUUGCUCAACAGCCUCUGCUUCUGUGAUGACUUUUUAUCUCUAAUGGAUCAUUCUCACCUUUCAGUCUGUGCCUCUAACCUCUUCUCUGAACUCUACAUUUAUUUUUUUCAUACCAGGAGUCAAACUCAGGACUUUGCGCUUACCAGGUAGGUAUGGUGCCACGGAGCUAAAUCCCUGGUUGGAACUCUAGAUGUCUAAGUCUAACAUCUGCUACGAUACCCAAUGGGAUGGCAUGGAGACAUUUCAAACUUGACAUGUUAGAAACAGAAGUCAUUUUUUCCCUUUAUUGGUACAUUCUGGGUAUGCGGUACACUUACAUUCAUCACUGGGAUCUUGUACCUUUACAUGAGGUAUCAUGGUUCUUAUAAAAAUAAGAAUGAGAAAACUCCACUCUCCUCCCCUCCUUUCAUCCAUUCCACACUUCCCUAUUUACAAAGACUUUGUUUCCAUUAUUUACCUUUUCUCUUUUUUUUUCUUUUCUUAAAAGUGUAAAUAAGAAUCAAAAUG
Molecule: long non-coding RNA, 1202 nt
Filed under: Fukomys damarensis (Damara mole-rat)
Lineage: Eukaryota; Metazoa; Chordata; Mammalia; Rodentia; Bathyergidae
Description: lncRNA (ENSFDAG00000022581.1)
Source: RNAcentral